GCAACUUGAAUUUAGGAAUAGGGAGAAAUGUCUGGGGGAUGCUCCUCACAUCAAGAACACUGCCUGGAAAGACUGUGAGUUGUUUGUUGUUCUUUUUAAACUUAUUUUUAUGUGUAUUAGAGUUUUGCCUGCAUCUAUGUCCGUGUAAAAGUGUCAGAUCCCCCGGAGCUGGAGUUACAGACAUUGGGAGCCGCCAUGUAGGUGCUGGGAAUUGAACCUCUGUCCUCUGGAAGAGCAGCCAAUACUCUUAACUGCUGAACUAUUUCCCAGGAUGUUCUUAUGCUGCCCUGUGUGAGCAGAGGCCAGGCACUGCUCUGUGGAAACUACCCCGGCUUCCGUAGCCUCACAAUGGGCUUGAAAAGACAACAAUGGGAACCUGACCAUAACAGCAUGUACCAGCAACUAUUUUUUAAGGAAUCCAGAGGAGGUGAGCAGCCCUAACACCUGUGGGUAACACUGUGUCUGAGACGGGAAGGAGCAGGAAGAGAUGCCUGUACGUGAUUCUCGCGGACAUCUCUCAAGAUGAGAACAGUUGAGCAGAGGUCAGCAGCAGAGUCAGAACUCUUCUCCCAUCACCACAGUGGUCCUCAAGCUGGAGCCAGACAUCCAUCUACUCAGUGCCAUGUUGAGCCAACAACUGAGCCUGAGGACUAACUUCCCAAGUCUCAGUCCCUUCCUCACCUGUCGGGACACCUGUUCCCUGACUUGUCAUACCUGCGAGAUGUCACAGCUACUUUCCUUCCUCAUUUCCUCCACAGCCCACAAGAACACACAGCCAGGACCAC
RNAcentral lists this long non-coding RNA (785 nucleotides) under Mus pahari (shrew mouse). RNAcentral describes it as "lncRNA (MGP_PahariEiJ_G0003759.1)". Lineage: Eukaryota; Metazoa; Chordata; Mammalia; Rodentia; Muridae. The record is from RNAcentral.